This 459-nucleotide ribosomal RNA is filed under the name uncultured bacterium. RNAcentral describes it as "partial 16S ribosomal RNA". It matches the Rfam family "Bacterial small subunit ribosomal RNA", at positions 28 to 507 of the family's 1533-position model. The record is from RNAcentral.
GAUGAACGCUGGCGGCGCGCCUAACACAUGCAAGUCGAACGGCACCCCUCCUCGGAGGGCAGCGAGUGGCGACCGGCUGAGUAACACGUGGAGAACCUGCCCCCUCCCCCGGGAUAGCCGCCCGAAAGGACGGGUAAUACCGGAUACCCCGGGGUGCCGCAUGGCACCCCGGCUAAAGCCCCGACGGGAGGGGAUGGCUCCGCGGCCCAUCAGGUAGACGGCGGGGUGACGGCCCACCGUGCCGACAACGGGUAGCCGGGUUGAGAGACCGACCGGCCAGAUUGGGACUGAGACACGGCCCAGACUCCUACGGGAGGCAGCAGUGGGGAAUCUUGCGCAAUGGGGGGAACCCUGACGCAGCGACGCCGCGUGCGGGACGGAGGCCUUCGGGUCGUAAACCGCUUUCAGCAGGGAAGAGUCAAGACUGUACCUGCAGAAGAAGCCCCGGCUAACUACGUG